Molecule: ribosomal RNA, 70 nt
Filed under: uncultured Glomus
Lineage: Eukaryota; Fungi; Glomeromycota; Glomeromycetes; Glomerales; Glomeraceae
Description: partial 18S ribosomal RNA
Rfam family: Eukaryotic small subunit ribosomal RNA
Source: RNAcentral
CCAACUUGGUCAUUUAGAGGAAGUAAAGUCGUAACAAGGUUUCCGUAGGUGACCUGCGGAAGGAUCAUUA